Molecule: ribosomal RNA, 800 nt
Filed under: uncultured bacterium
Lineage: Bacteria
Description: bacterial SSU rRNA
Rfam family: Bacterial small subunit ribosomal RNA
Source: RNAcentral
AGAGUUUGAUCCUGGCUCAGGAUGAACGCUGGCGGUAUGCUUUACACAUGCAAGUCAUACGGAAGUUAGUUUCGGCUAACUUCAGUGGCGGACGGGUGAGUAACACGUGAGAAUUCGCCUUUAGGAGGGGGAUAACAGGGGGAAACACCUGCUAAAACCCCAUAUGCCUUUGGGUCAAAAGAGAAAUCUGCCUAAAGAGAAGCUCGCGGCUGAUUAGCUAGUUGGUAGGGUAAAGGCCUACCAAGGCGACGAUCAGUAGCUGGUCUGAGAGGACGAUCAGCCACACUGGAACUGAGACACGGUCCAGACUCCUACGGGAGGCAGCAGUGAGGAAUUUUCUGCAAUGGGCGAAAGCCUGACAGAGCAAUACCGCGUGAGGGAAGAAGGCUUACUGAGUUGUAAACCCCUGUUACCUAAGGAGGAAGAUCUGACGUUACUUAGGAGACGAAGCAUCGGCUAACUCCGUGCCAGCAGCCGCGGUAAGACGGAGGAUGCAAGUGUUAUCCGGAAUCACUGGGCGUAAAGCGUCUGCAGGUGGUUUCUUAAGUCCACUGUUAAACCUCGAGGCUCAACCUCAAUUCAGCAUUGGAAACUGGGAAACUUGAGUAUAGUAGGGGUAGAGGGAAUUUCCAGUGGAGCGGUGAAAUGCGUAGAUAUUGGAAAGAACACCGAUGGCGAAGGCACUCUACUGGGCUAUUACUGACACUCAGAGACGAAAGCUAGGGGAGCAAAUGGGAUUAGAUACCCCAGUAGUCCUAGCCGUAAACGAUGGAUACUCGAUGUUGGGCGUAUCGACCCGU